GACGAACGCUGGCGGCGUGCCUAAUACAUGCAAGUAGAACGCACAGUUUAUACCGUAGCUUGCUACACCAUAGACUGUGAGUUGCGAACGGGUGAGUAACGCGUAGGUAACCUGCCUGGUAGCGGGGGAUAACUAUUGGAAACGAUAGCUAAUACCGCAUAAUAUUAAUUAUUGCAUGAUAAUUAAUUGAAAGGUGCAAUUGCACCACUACCAGAUGGACCUGCGUUGUAUUAGCUAGUAGGUGAGGUAACGGCUCACCUAGGCGACGAUACAUAGCCGACCUGAGAGGGUGAUCGGCCACACUGGGACUGAGACACGGCCCAGACUCCUACGGGAGGCAGCAGUAGGGAAUCUUCGGCAAUGGACGAAAGUCUGACCGAGCAACGCCGCGUGAGGGAAGAAGGUUUUCGGAUCGUAAAGCUCUGUUGUAAGAGAAGAACGGGUGUGAGAGUGGAAAGUUCACACUGUGACGGUAUCUUACCAGAAAGGGACGGCUAACUACGUG
This 505-nucleotide ribosomal RNA is filed under the name uncultured bacterium. RNAcentral describes it as "partial 16S ribosomal RNA". It matches the Rfam family "Bacterial small subunit ribosomal RNA", at positions 28 to 507 of the family's 1533-position model. The record is from RNAcentral.